GGGUAAUGGCUCACCUAGGCGACGAUCCCUAGCUGGUCUGAGAGGAUGACCAGCCACACUGGAACUGAGACACGGUCCAGACUCCUACGGGAGGCAGCAGUGGGGAAUAUUGCACAAUGGGCGCAAGCCUGAUGCAGCCAUGCCGCGUGUGUGAAGAAGGCCUUCGGGUUGUAAAGCACUUUCAGCGAGGAGGAAGGGUGGUGUGUUAAUAGCGCACCACAUUGACGUUACUCGCAGAAGAAGCACCGGCUAACUCCGUGCCAGCAGCCGCGGUAAUACGGAGGGUGCAAGCGUUAAUCGGAAUUACUGGGCGUAAAGCGCACGCAGGCGGUUUGUUAAGUCAGAUGUGAAAUCCCCGCGCUUAACGUGGGAACUGCAUUUGAAACUGGCAAGCUAGAGUCUUGUAGAGGGGGGUAGAAUUCCAGGUGUAGCGGUGAAAUGCGUAGAGAUCUGGAGGAAUACCGGUGGCGAAGGCGGCCCCCUGGACAAAGACUGACGC
RNAcentral lists this ribosomal RNA (499 nucleotides) under Serratia sp. (in: enterobacteria). Its description in RNAcentral is "bacterial SSU rRNA". It matches the Rfam family "Bacterial small subunit ribosomal RNA", at positions 255 to 746 of the family's 1533-position model. Lineage: Bacteria; Pseudomonadati; Pseudomonadota; Gammaproteobacteria; Enterobacterales; Yersiniaceae. The record is from RNAcentral.